Long non-coding RNA from Photinus pyralis (common eastern firefly), 1676 nucleotides. RefSeq lists it as uncharacterized. The record is from RefSeq and is a predicted model, not a curated record. Lineage: Eukaryota; Metazoa; Arthropoda; Insecta; Coleoptera; Lampyridae. The transcript is spliced from 3 exons.
UGCAAGAAGCCAAAAAACAAAAAAUGGACAGGCUGCAAAACCGACUAAAAAAUGGAAAUAUUGGGACAUAUUGUCAUUUCUUUUGCCGCAUAUCAAAGGAAGAGAGUCUCAUAACAGCAAAUUUUUGUUUUUUAAAAAUUUUUUUAGAACUCAGUCCAAUAUCAACCGCGUAGAUGGCGACGAGGAAGAAGAAUCGGAAGAAGAUGGUAAUGAAACCAGAAGCGAAGUGGAUGAAAACCAGAUUGAAGAUGAUGGAGAAGACGUUCCGAGUCCAAGAGACGAUGUAAUGAGUCCCACUUCUUAUUCACAACCGAAUACUCCACAAUCUAAUGCGUCAAGUGUCAAAAGUGUAUCGACAGUUGCUAAAAGCAAAAAGCCUAACUGCAAGAAAGUAGAUAGAUUGCCUGAAAUACUAAAAGAAUAUAUCAACGACAAGAAACGAAGUCGCUUAGAGAAAUCGACGGCUCGGGCAGACGCAAAAGAUAAUUCGAUUUUAGAUUUUUUCAUAAAUAUGGGCAAAACGGUUGCAACCUUUCCUCCUCUAGAGCAAGCUUCAAACAAAAGGCAGGUGUUUCAAAUUGUAAAUUCGUAUGAAUUACAGCUAUUGGGUGGCACAACACCAACACAAAGUCUUUUUUACAUGCAAAACCAACCAUCCACUUCCUUUCACCCACCCAGUUCAUAUUUCCACAACCAACAACCCCAGUCUGCUUCUACUUGCUAUGAAAAGUCUGGGUCUCAUGCACAAACGUUAACAAAUCAGAACAUCGUCCAAGCCCAACAACACCCUUCACCUGCACCAACAGAGCAGUCAUCCUCAUCCAUUCACCCACUAAGUUCAUAUGUCCACAACCCACAAUCCCAAGCUGCUUCUGCUUACUAUGAAAAGUCUGGGUCUCAUACACAAACAUUAACAACUCAACAGUUUCCACCUGCAGCAGCGACAGAGCAGUCAUUCCCAUUCCAGUCGGGCUCGAAAUAUGUCAUGGACCCAAUACUUUCGUUUUCGUUUAUCUAAUUGGUGUUGGUGCCAAACAACAGUCACGAAGAUUUCGUCUGAUGAACUGGAUGAUGUGUCCUCUGCCGUGCACAUUUUCACAAGGAAGACAUAGAACUGCGAGUAUUUUGAUGCUCAAGUGUGUAUACCUACAUUAAAAUGCUGCAUCGCGCUGCUCUGCUUCGUGCUGUGACGCGCUGCCUUAGUGAGAAUCGACCUUAACCCAUUAAAAUAUUUUGUUUGUUUGGUAGAAAAAUUCGUUUUUUUUUAAGUAACAAUAAUUCCUUUGUUAGUCUGCUCAUGUCUAAAUUAAUGAUACAAUGUAAUGUCCAGAAUACACAUAUCGACCAGCAGGAAAAGUUAUCGUCAAUCGUCAUGAUUGGCACUAAUGACUUGAGACGAAACAAAAAUUAUGCCAUGAACUGCGAUGCUGCGCCUGAUUGCGACAUUGAAGAAAUCACAACCUAUUGAACAAAUCGAAAUUGCACGUUGCCGUCGAUACCAAACGUCACACAGAAUCAAGUAGCAAACAUGAAACAAUUUAAUAAAUUUAUUCGCAAUAAAACUGAUAGCAAGCACGCUGCUUCUGUGUGAAGUGGAGGCAAAAUGAAACAAGUAAAAGGUUUUCGCCCUAAGGCAAGUAACUUCAGCGCAUUUUCCAUGAAUGAUCAGUACUUCC